GAUGAAGAACGUAGCGAAAUGCGAUACUUGGUGUGAAUUGCAGAAUCCCGUGAACCAUCGAGUCUUUGAACGCAAGUUGUGCCCGAAGCCAUCAGGUUGAGGGCACGUCUGCCUGGGCGUCACAUAUCGUUGCUCGAUGCCUAUCGCAUUGCGAUAGGACUUAGGGCGAAUGAUGGCUUCCCGUGAGCGUUGUUGCCUCGCGGUUGGUUGAAAAUCGAGUCCUUGGUAGGGUGUGCCAUGAUAGAUGGUGGUCGAGUUAGCACGAGACCCAAUCAUGUGAGACCCCUACCGAAUUUGGCCUUCAUGACCCACAUGCGUCUUUGGAACGCUCAUGACGAGACCUCAGGUCAGGCGGGGCUACCCGCUGAGUUUAAGCAUAUCAAUAAGCGGAGGA
RNAcentral lists this unclassified non-coding RNA (394 nucleotides) under soil metagenome. Its description in RNAcentral is "partial contains 5.8S ribosomal RNA, internal transcribed spacer 2, and large subunit ribosomal RNA". The stretch from base 1 to 122 matches the Rfam family "5.8S ribosomal RNA", at positions 35 to 154 of the family's 154-position model. The record is from RNAcentral.